Molecule: ribosomal RNA, 504 nt
Filed under: uncultured bacterium
Lineage: Bacteria
Description: bacterial SSU rRNA
Rfam family: Bacterial small subunit ribosomal RNA
Source: RNAcentral
AUUGAACGCUGGCGGCGUGCCUAACACAUGCAAGUCGAGCGGUAACAGGUGUAGCAAUACAUGCUGACGAGCGGCGGACGGGUGAGUAACGCUUGGGAAUCUGCCUAUUAGUGGGGGACAACCCGGGGAAACUCGGGCUAAUACCGCAUACGCUCUACGGAGGAAAGCCGGGGACCGCAAGGCCUGGCGCUAAUAGAUGAGCCCAAGUCGGAUUAGCUAGUUGGUAGGGUAACGGCCACCAAGGCUACGAUCCGUAACUGGUCUGAGAGGACGACCAGUCACACCGGAACUGAGACACGGUCCGGACUCCUACGGGAGGCAGCAGUGGGGAAUAUUGGACAAUGGGGAAACCCUGAUCCAGCGACGCCGCGUGGGUGAAGAAGGCCUGCGGGUUGUAAAGCCCUUUCAGUGGGGAAGAAAAGCCUCGACCUAACACGUCGGGGUCUUGACGUAACCCAUAGAAGAAGCACCGGCUAACUCUGUGCCAGCAGCCGCCGCGGUAAC